This is a long non-coding RNA of Triticum dicoccoides, 1018 nucleotides long. RefSeq lists it as uncharacterized. Lineage: Eukaryota; Viridiplantae; Streptophyta; Magnoliopsida; Poales; Poaceae. The record is from RefSeq and is a predicted model, not a curated record. The transcript is spliced from 2 exons.
CCAGGUCUUCACCCUCGAAAAGAAAACCUCAAAAAUGAAAAACGAAAAAAACAAUCCCUCUCACGCGACCCCCAAAUCGCCGUCGUCGCCGCCUGUCGAUUCCGGCCAAUUCCGGCGGCCUCCGUCGCCAUCCAACACCUCCCCGUGCUCCUGCGCCUCCCCUCUAUUACUUCGGCCGUCUGAAUCGCAGCUCGCCUCUUCCUUUGGCGCUCGCGGUUAACCCUAUUCGUGCGGUCCCCGGCGCGUGGCGUCGCCGUGGACGCCGGCACAGCACCCGCGCAUUCGGCUGCUCUUCACCUACAUAAUCCGCACUCCCCACGCGGCUGCGCCUCCUGGUAUUCGUCCUCACGCCUCUGGUUCGAGGGCGACGGCCUCGGCGACGCGGCGGUCGCCGGCCAUGGCCUCCCGUGCUUCGGAUAGGAGGCGCCUCCGUCGAGCACUUCACCGUCGCCGAGUGACGAAGGCAGACCGCAGCGGCGGUGUCGUUCAACCUCGGCUACAACCGUCAAAUCAGUUCAAGAGGAUGCUUUCAGGAGAGAUACCCUGAACAUGUAGGAAGAAAUGAAUUCAGCUUGCUCCAGGGUUGUACUCGAUACUCGACAGCAACCAGGACACGCCGCUGGGUUGAUUGACAAGGUUUCUGGGUUGGCUCUUUGCACAAGGCGAUCAAAGCCUGGAAGUUGACUCCCACAAAGCUGUUACAGAAAAUAGGAGUAUGUCUGAGUAUUAAAUUCUGUUUCAGGAGAGAUUAUGAAUAGUUAUCGUGAGUGUCACACGUCGUUCAGUGAGUUGUCGAACUUGAUUUUGUCUAUGUUACUGCAGUUGUUGUGUUAUUCAAUUGUCAUGUACCUUAUAUAACUGGAUCCUUCUAUCGCACUUUGAGGAAUUCAAUUUCUAUUUUCCGAGGUGGUGCCUUCUCAUUGUAGGCGUAAUAUCACCACCUUGUUGUAAAGAGAUGACUCCAAUAAUCCGUACAUCCUCAUUCCUUCGAUCACAAUGUUCCAUCCUGAACAUUAAA